UGAGGAAUAUUGCACAAUGGGCGCAAGCCUGAUGCAGCGACGCCGUGUGUGGGAUGAAGGGGCUACGCCUCGUAAACCACUGUAGCCCGGGACGAAAAACGCCUUAGAGGCGUUAGACGGUACCGGGAAAGUAAGGGUCGGCUAACUACGUGCAAGUAGCCGCGGUAAUACGUAGGACCCAAGCGUUGUCCGGAUUUAAUGGGUGUAAAGGGUGCGCAGGCGGAUGGGUAAGUCAGGGGUGAAAGUCUGCAGCUUAACUGUAGAAUUGCCUUUGAUACUGCUCAUCUUGAGUGUGGGAGAGGUUGAUGGAAUUCCAGGUGUAGCAGUGAAAUGCGUAGAUAUCUGGAAGAACACCAGUGGCGAAGGCGGUCAACUUGCCCAUAACUGACGCUCAUGCACGAAAGCGUGUGGAGCAAACA
Molecule: ribosomal RNA, 419 nt
Filed under: uncultured bacterium
Lineage: Bacteria
Description: bacterial SSU rRNA
Rfam family: Bacterial small subunit ribosomal RNA
Source: RNAcentral